This 263-nucleotide ribosomal RNA is filed under the name uncultured bacterium. Its description in RNAcentral is "partial small subunit ribosomal RNA". It matches the Rfam family "Bacterial small subunit ribosomal RNA", at positions 26 to 285 of the family's 1533-position model. The record is from RNAcentral.
AGGACGAACGCUGGCGGCGUGCUUAACACAUGCAAGUCGAACGGUGAAGGACGGAGCUUGCUCCGACCGGAUCAGUGGCGAACGGGUGAGUAACACGUGAGUAACCUGCCCCAGACUCUGGAAUAACCUCGGGAAACCGAUGCUAAUACCGGGUACGAAACGAAGCUGCAUGGCUAUCGUUUGGAAAGUUUUUCGGUCUGGGAUGGACUCGCGGCCUAUCAGCUUGUUGGUGAGGUAAUGGCUCACCAAGGCGACGACGGGUA